CUGAUUUUGGAGGUAGCAGCUACCAAUAAGAGUUGCAGUGAGCUAACUGGGGACAGGUCCCCCUGGAAAUCAUAAUGGUGGGUGUCAAGAACUGGGGGGAAGAGGCUGCAGGGGCUCCAGGCCUUUAGGAUGUUUAGAUUCCAUUGUGUCGUAGCCUUGUUUUAACCUACCUUGCCUCAUUCUGUCUCAUCAAUCAUAAUUUAAAUAUUUGUUUUCUCUACAUCUCUUUGAUCUUUUCUGUAAAUUGAGGUCUUCGACAGAAUUUUAUGUAAAAAGAAUGCUGACAGCGGCAUUCGCAUUUUUAAAAAAAUUCUCUCUGAUUAACACAUUUCUCUUUUGUGGCUGAACCACUCAUCAUAGGAGGAUUGUUCACUAGUCCUUUGCUUUCAACAGGCCUUAAGAUCAUCUGUGGGUUGUGUAACUGGAGAAUUGUGUCUGGGAGGGUUUGGGCUUCCUGGCUACAAAGCAUCUUCUCUCCCAUCUUGCAGUAGGUUGACCGUCUCUGCACUGCCGAGCCACAGGCCUGGGGUCUGAGAGGUACCUUGCUCUCUUACAGCACCUCUUUCUGCGUCUGUUACAGGAAAGUGUUCAGAAGAACCAAUGUGUUUUCCCAAGAAAAAGAAAUCAGGAACCUGGUGUAUUGUGCCUGAUGCUUUAGAUAAACUAAUCCAAAUCAGGUGGUGGCCCCACCCUCUGUCACAUAAAUCCUCCCGCCGAGACUUCGCAUUUUUGUGAGGCAUGGUUUUGAGAUUUCAGAAAUUAACUUCUUUUGGGCGACGCCUAGAUUCAGCUGUGAAUGAGUCUGUGCACAGAUUGUAAAACAUGCUGUGGCCUCAUUCGUCUCUGCUGGAAGGAAGUGGCAGCCCCUUGCCAUACCAGGAAAGGGGAAUGAAUGCUUUCCAGCUUGUUUUCUGAACUGCCCAGAAGAGUGGAAUUGCUGCAAGAACCCUCCUCUGCACUGGAUUAAAUAUUCUGCAGGGCCAUCCAAGGUUAAGUCUCUUCUUUAUUUAAACUGUAACACAUUUCCUAUUUUUCAUCCUCGGUUCUAUUACUGUGUGUAUAUUUUUAAUAAACAAACUUAUUUUCCUUUAUCUUUUUCUUAUUUAGUUUAAUAUAUUUUUAAACAAGUGAGCUUCAGAGAAUCAUUGUGUAUCUCAAUUGCAUAUGUAAAAAUACUUUCAUAGCCUAUGAAGAUCUGUAAAAACAUAAAGUAUUGCCAUUAUAUGUGCAGCAUAUCUUAUAAUUCUGCAUUUCAAAUGCAUGAUCAGUAUCAUGUGAAAAACCCUAAUUAUUUUAUUUAGCUCACAUGGGUACGUUCAAAAUAAGUGCUUCAGCUUGGCAAUAUUGACAAAGUCCAAGCAGAUUUUUUCCCCUCUUUGACACCUUUAAUUUUAGGACAAAAUAUGCAUGGAAAAAAUUCUAUUUAUGAAUUACAGUAAGGCCUUAAUAAGUUAUUUCAGCCAAGAAGUCAGAUACCUUUACAUGUUUUGUUAAAUGUAAAGAUAGAAUUUGAUUGUUUGACAA
Molecule: long non-coding RNA, 1524 nt
Filed under: Piliocolobus tephrosceles (Ugandan red Colobus)
Lineage: Eukaryota; Metazoa; Chordata; Mammalia; Primates; Cercopithecidae
Description: lncRNA (ENSPTEG00000016599.1)
Source: RNAcentral